RNAcentral lists this ribosomal RNA (449 nucleotides) under uncultured soil bacterium. RNAcentral's name for it is "bacterial SSU rRNA". It matches the Rfam family "Bacterial small subunit ribosomal RNA", at positions 26 to 518 of the family's 1533-position model. The record is from RNAcentral.
AGAACGAACGCUGGCGGCAGGCCUAACACAUGCAAGUCGAACGCUCGUAGCAAUACGGGAGUGGCGCACGGGUGAGUAACGCGUGGGCACCUGCCCGGUGGUUUGGGAUAACCGUGGGAAACUGCGGCUAAUACCGGAUACGCCCCUAGGGGGAAAGAUUUAUCGCCAUCGGAUGGGCCCGCGUAGGAUUAGCUAGUUGGUGAGGUAACGGCUCACCAAGGCUACGAUCCUUAGCUGGUCUGAGAGGAUGAUCAGCCACACUGGGACUGAGACACGGCCCAGACUCCUACGGGAGGCAGCAGUGGGGAAUAUUGGACAAGUGGGGGGCAACCCGUGAUCCAGCCAUGCCGCGUGAGUGAAGAGGCCGUUCGGGUUGUAAAGCUCGUUUGGCGGGACGAUGAUGACGGUACCGCAGAAUAACGCCCGCUAACUUCGUGCCGAGCAGCCGC